This 253-nucleotide ribosomal RNA is filed under the name uncultured bacterium. RNAcentral describes it as "partial 16S ribosomal RNA". It matches the Rfam family "Bacterial small subunit ribosomal RNA", at positions 524 to 776 of the family's 1533-position model. The record is from RNAcentral.
UACGGAGGGGGCUAGCGUUGUUCGGAAUUACUGGGCGUAAAGCGCACGUAGGCGGCUUUGUAAGUUAGAGGUGAAAGCCCGGGGCUCAACUCCGGAAUUGCCUUUGAGACUGCAUCGCUUGAAUCCAGGAGAGGUGAGUGGAAUUCCGAGUGUAGAGGUGAAAUUCGUAGAUAUUCGGAAGAACACCAGUGGCGAAGGCGGCUCACUGGACUGGUAUUGACGCUGAGGUGCGAAAGCGUGGGGAGCAAACAGG